This 254-nucleotide ribosomal RNA is filed under the name uncultured bacterium. Its description in RNAcentral is "partial 16S ribosomal RNA". It matches the Rfam family "Bacterial small subunit ribosomal RNA", at positions 524 to 776 of the family's 1533-position model. The record is from RNAcentral.
GACGAACCGUGCGAACGUUAUUCGGAAUCACUGGGCUUAAAGCGCGUGUAGGCGGGAGGGCACGUCCGUCGCUGAAAUCCCCCGGCUCAACCGGGGAACGGGCGCGGAUACGACCUUCCUUGAGGGGCGUAGGGGGACCUGGAACCUCCGGUGGAGCGGUGAAAUGCGUUGAGAUCGGAAGGAACGCCCGUGGCGAAAGCGGCUCACUGGACCAUUACUGACGCUGAUGCACGAAAGCUAGGGGAGCAAACAGG